CAGUCGCCGCGGGAAAACGAAGGGGGCUAGCGUUGCUCGGAAUUACUGGGCGUAAAGGGAGCGUAGGCGGAUCGUUAAGUUGGGGGUGAAAGCCCGGGGCUCAACCUCGGAAUUGCCUUCAAUACUGGCGAUCUUGAGUAUGGAAGAGGUAUGUGGAACUCCGAGUGUAGAGGUGAAAUUCGUAGAUAUUCGGAAGAACACCAGUGGCGAAGGCGGCCCGCUGGACAUGUAUUGACGCUGAGGUGCGAAAGCGUGGGGAGCAAACAGGAUUAGAUACCCCGGUAGUCCCUGUCUCUUAUAC
This 301-nucleotide ribosomal RNA is filed under the name uncultured bacterium. Its description in RNAcentral is "partial 16S ribosomal RNA". It matches the Rfam family "Bacterial small subunit ribosomal RNA", at positions 509 to 807 of the family's 1533-position model. The record is from RNAcentral.